GACGUGCUAAUCUGCGAUAAGCGUCGGUAAGGUGAUAUGAACCGUUAUAACCGGCGAUUUCCGAAUGGGGAAACCCAGUGUGAUUCGUCACACUAUCAUUAACUGAAUCCAUAGGUUAAUGAGGCGAACCGGGGGAACUGAAACAUCUAAGUACCCCGAGGAAAAGAAAUCAACCGAGAUUCCCCCAGUAGCGGCGAGCGAACGGGGAGCAGCCCAGAGCCUGAAUCAGUGUGUGUGUUAGUGGAAGCGUCUGGAAAGGCGUGCGAUACAGGGUGACAGCCCCGUACACAAAAAUGCACAUACUGUGAGCUCGAUGAGUAGGGCGGGACACGUGGUAUCCUGUCUGAAUAUGGGGGGACCAUCCUCCAAGGCUAAAUACUCCUGACUGACCGAUAGUGAACCAGUACCGUGAGGGAAAGGCGAAAAGAACCCCGGCGAGGGGAGUGAAAAAGAACCUGAAACCGUGUACGUACAAGCAGUGGGAGCACGCUUAGGCGUGUGACUGCGUACCUUUUGUAUAAUGGGUCAGCGACUUAUAUUCUGUAGCAAGGUUAACCGAAUAGGGGAGCCGAAGGGAAACCGAGUCUUAACUGGGCGUUAAGUUGCAGGGUAUAGACCCGAAACCCGGUGAUCUAGCCAUGGGCAGGUUGAAGGUUGGGUAACACUAACUGGAGGACCGAACCGACUAAUGUUGAAAAAUUAGCGGAUGACUUGUGGCUGGGGGUGAAAGGCCAAUCAAACCGGGAGAUAGCUGGUUCUCCCCGAAAGCUAUUUAGGUAGCGCCUCGUGAAUUCAUCUCCGGGGGUAGAGCACUGUUUCGGCAAGGGGGUCAUCCCGACUUACCAACCCGAUGCAAACUGCGAAUACCGGAGAAUGUUAUUACGGGAGACACACGGCGGGUGCUAACGUCCGUCGUGAAGAGGGAAACAACCCAGACCGCCAGCUAAGGUCCCAAAGUCAUGGUUAAGUGGGAAACGAUGUGGGAAGGCCCAGACAGCCAGGAUGUUGGCUUAGAAGCAGCCAUCAUUUAAAGAAAGCGUAAUAGCUCACUGGUCGAGUCGGCCUGCGCGGAAGAUGUAACGGGGCUAAACCAUGCACCGAAGCUGCGGCAGCGACGCUUAUGCGUUGUUGGGUAGGGGAGCGUUCUGUAAGCCUGUGAAGGUGUGCUGUGAGGUAUGCUGGAGGUAUCAGAAGUGCGAAUGCUGACAUAAGUAACGAUAAAGCGGGUGAAAAGCCCGCUCGCCGGAAGACCAAGGGUUCCUGUCCAACGUUAAUCGGGGCAGGGUGAGUCGACCCCUAAGGCGAGGCCGAAAGGCGUAGUCGAUGGGAAACAGGUUAAUAUUCCUGUACUUGGUGUUACUGCGAAGGGGGGACGGAGAAGGCUAUGUUGGCCGGGCGACGGUUGUCCCGGUUUAAGCGUGUAGGCUGGUUUUCCAGGCAAAUCCGGAAAAUCAAGGCCGAGGCGUGAUGACGAGGCACUACGGUGCUGAAGCAACAAAUGCCCUGCUUCCAGGAAAAGCCUCUAAGCAUCAGGUAACAUCAAAUCGUACCCCAAACCGACACAGGUGGUCAGGUAGAGAAUACCAAGGCGCUUGAGAGAACUCGGGUGAAGGAACUAGGCAAAAUGGUGCCGUAACUUCGGGAGAAGGCACGCUGAUACGUAGGUGAAGCGACUUGCUCGUGGAGCUGAAAUCAGUCGAAGAUACCAGCUGGCUGCAACUGUUUAUUAAAAACACAGCACUGUGCAAACACGAAAGUGGACGUAUACGGUGUGACGCCUGCCCGGUGCCGGAAGGUUAAUUGAUGGGGU
This 1810-nucleotide ribosomal RNA is filed under the name Shigella flexneri. RNAcentral's name for it is "partial 23S ribosomal RNA". It matches the Rfam family "Bacterial large subunit ribosomal RNA", at positions 55 to 1890 of the family's 2925-position model. The record is from RNAcentral. Lineage: Bacteria; Pseudomonadati; Pseudomonadota; Gammaproteobacteria; Enterobacterales; Enterobacteriaceae.